This 1175-nucleotide ribosomal RNA is filed under the name Campylobacter coli. RNAcentral describes it as "partial 23S ribosomal RNA". It matches the Rfam family "Bacterial large subunit ribosomal RNA", at positions 1744 to 2925 of the family's 2925-position model. Lineage: Bacteria; Pseudomonadati; Campylobacterota; Epsilonproteobacteria; Campylobacterales; Campylobacteraceae. The record is from RNAcentral.
AUUAGGAUUUACUCCGAAAGCGAAGAAACUUACAACAAAGAGUCCCUCCCGACUGUUUACCAAAAACACAGCACUCUGCUAACUCGUAAGAGGAUGUAUAGGGUGUGACGCCUGCCCGGUGCUCGAAGGUUAAUUGAUGGGGUUAGCAUUAGCGAAGCUCUUGAUCGAAGCCCGAGUAAACGGCGGCCGUAACUAUAACGGUCCUAAGGUAGCGAAAUUCCUUGUCGGUUAAAUACCGACCUGCAUGAAUGGCGUAACGAGAUGGGAGCUGUCUCAAAGAGGGAUCCAGUGAAAUUGUAGUGGAGGUGAAAAUUCCUCCUACCCGCGGCAAGACGGAAAGACCCCGUGGACCUUUACUACAGCUUGACACUGCUAUUUGGAUAAGAAUGUGCAGGAUAGGUGGGAGGCUUUGAGUAUAUGACGCCAGUUGUAUAUGAGCCAUUGUUGAGAUACCACUCUUUCUUAUUUGGGUAGCUAACCAGCUUGAGUUAUCCUCAAGUGGGACAAUGUCUGGUGGGUAGUUUGACUGGGGCGGUCGCCUCCCAAAUAAUAACGGAGGCUUACAAAGGUUGGCUCAGAACGGUUGGAAAUCGUUCGUAGAGUAUAAAGGUAUAAGCCAGCUUAACUGCAAGACAUACAAGUCAAGCAGAGACGAAAGUCGGUCUUAGUGAUCCGGUGGUUCUGUGUGGAAGGGCCAUCGCUCAAAGGAUAAAAGGUACCCCGGGGAUAACAGGCUGAUCUCCCCCAAGAGCUCACAUCGACGGGGAGGUUUGGCACCUCGAUGUCGGCUCAUCGCAUCCUGGGGCUGGAGCAGGUCCCAAGGGUAUGGCUGUUCGCCAUUUAAAGCGGUACGCGAGCUGGGUUCAGAACGUCGUGAGACAGUUCGGUCCCUAUCUGCCGUGGGCGUAAGAAGAUUGAAGAGAUUUGACCCUAGUACGAGAGGACCGGGUUGAACAAACCACUGGUGUAGCUGUUGUUCUGCCAAGAGCAUCGCAGCGUAGCUAAGUUUGGAAAGGAUAAACGCUGAAAGCAUCUAAGCGUGAAGCCAACUCUAAGAUGAAUCUUCUCUAAGCUCUCUAGAAGACUACUAGUUUGAUAGGCUGGGUGUGUAAUGGAUGAAAGUCCUUUAGCUGACCAGUACUAAUAGAGCGUUUGGCUUAUCUUUAAUAAAGCAU